ACCGUACUCCUACGGGAGGCAGCAGUGGGGAAUAUUGGACAAUGGGCGCAAGCCUGAUCCAGCCAUGCCGCGUGAGUGAUGAAGGCCUUAGGGUUGUAAAGCUCUUUCAGUAGGGAAGAUAAUGACGGUACCUACAGAAGAAGCCCCGGCUAACUUCGUGCCAGCAGCCGCGGUAAUACGAAGGGGGCUAGCGUUGUUCGGAUUUACUGGGCGUAAAGCGCACGUAGGCGGAUUGUUAAGUCAGGGGUGAAAUCCCGGAGCUCAACUCCGGAACUGCCUUUGAUACUGGCAAUCUCGAGUCCGGAAGAGGUGAGUGGAACUCCUAGUGUAGAGGUGGAAUUCGUAGAUAUUAGGAAGAACACCAGUGGCGAAGGCGGCUCACUGGUCCGGUACUGACGCUGAGGUGCGAAAGCGUGGGGAGCAAACAGGAUUAGAAACCCCAGUAGUCCUUGAC
Molecule: ribosomal RNA, 454 nt
Filed under: uncultured bacterium
Lineage: Bacteria
Description: bacterial SSU rRNA
Rfam family: Bacterial small subunit ribosomal RNA
Source: RNAcentral